CCCAGGCGGCUCCGCAGCUCCUUCAGUGCCCCGAGCCCGCGCACAGCGACAGCGCCCAGCCCGCCACGGCCCCGACACACGGCUGCCAGCCUGCCUGCUGCGGGACACAGCCGCCACACACAGCCCGCCACGGCCCCGACACACGGCUGCCAGCCUGCCUGCUGCGGGACACAGCCGCCACACACAGCCCGCCACUGCUCUCGCUCCCUCUGCCCCCUCUGCCUCGCACCCAACUGUUGCGGCCGCAGCCUCUGCCAUCGCCUUCCACCCUCCGCCCAUAGCUGCUGCUGCUCUCAGCCUGCUUUACAAAGCAAAGAGCUGCUCCGGGAGAGCAUCUUUCCUAUGAGCUGACAAAGCUGCUGCGCUGACAGGAACACAGGGGCUAAUUCAGUUCGUUCUGUCACUUCGGUAUACCAGUCAUGACAUGAGAGAGAUUUGCAGUGAGGUUUUCUGAGGUAUUAAAGGAUUCUCCAACUGUGUCCUUGCACAAGUAUCUCUGUGCCAUAUUGGAAGGUGCAUUAUAAGUAGCAUUCUCAAAUGGACGCAUAAUGAAGGUGUAAUUUAAAUCCCCCUGAAGUAUGAAUACACUUCCCUUCUGUAUAUAUUGUUCUAAAGCUCAGGUUUCCCAAGGACGCAUGGAUUCCCCUUAAAAACCUUGGUGAGAUAGCAGCAUGUCUGGUGGGUGAAACAAUAAAUCUGCUAAAGUACAGGAGCCUUCCAAAUAAUCAGAAAUCUCCAUCACACCAACCCUUAAUUUUAAACUGAUUUUCCUUGGCAUUAGUAACUGUCUAACAUCCCGAAGAACAAAUACCAGAAUUUAGCAAUGCUGCACGUGUUGGAAGAAGUCAUUUUAAGGACUGAGCAAUUCAUAAGGUUGCACUCCACAGACUCUCUCUGGACACCCCAUUUCCUUUAGGGUCAGGAGCCGUUCAGCAUCUUCAGGAACUCAUUGCAAUGAGCAAGUGCAGCAGAGGCCACAGCCAGGCCAUGUAAAAGGUCAGAGUGUCUCGUUCUCUACGGCUCACAUCACGUCCAUUUUCAUUCCCAGUGGUGGAUCUAGGACAAGGCAAAGUGAUUACCAAAGCACACAACGACCCCGUUGUAGGAACAGGUGAUAAUGGAGUGAAAAGGGCGGUUCCGAGCUCAUCAACGUCUAAUUGAUGAGCCUUUAGAAACCAGGUUCUCUGUCUGUGAAUUGGCUCAAGCUGAGCUUUGUCCAUGACAAAGGGUUAGAGAUGAUGAGAGAAGACACGGGAGUCCCCGGAAAGGAGAGACUGCAGUGCUGUGUCUCUGGGAUCACCAAGCAUGGUUGCAGGUUUCUCUUCUCAGUACAGCUGCUGGGAACAAUGCUCGUCUCCCUGGACAUGUCUUACCUUUUUGUGUCUUCUCUAAAGCUUGAGAAGGCACAGUGUGCGAAGACAACGGGCGAAGGACAAGCUUUCACCUGAAAAUCUAUGACAGCCUCAGGACCCUUCAUUUUCUAUGAACCCCGUUCUAAACCGUGGAGCCGCGCAACACCUGCAUGAGAAUGUUCCAAUUACACACAUUAUCAUUUUUCACGUAAUUCCAGAUAGCAUUCUAUGACAAACUCGUUUUAGAGGAAAUGAAAAUGACCGGAAUGGGAUCACUGUAGAGUUGAAACGGAAAAGAGGGUGGCAGUGAGGGACCUGGGAGAGAGGCAUUUGUCCCAGGCAGAUGAAAAAGGGCAGGGCAGAAGGGGCACAGACACACGAGUCCCCUGUUCCCAGAGGAAAUUGCAAUGAGCCCAGACAGCUGAGAAAGCUCAGUGGGGAAGAAGCCGCUGAGCUCGCCAAUGGGCAGCACGGGGUGUGCAGCAGAGCUGGCGAUUGCAGCUGCGGAGGUGAGGAGUGCAGUGCGAGCUGAGCGGGAAGAGCCCCUUGCCAUGGCUGAGGCCGCAGAGGCACGGAAUGCUCCGAAUGCCAGUGGCUGAGGGAGCCACGGCGGCUGCUGCUGGACGAGCGAGAAACGCAGCAGGAGCAUUUCAGGCACGGCAAGGACAGGCCAUUGCUCUGCCUGCUGCCGCUGCUGCUCCCGCUGCUCCCGCACACAGUCGUUUCCGGCACCUCUGUUCUCUCGCCGCUGCGACGUGCUUUCUGCCUCUUCCUCACUCAGCAAACACGCAGCUUGCUCUCGCCAUGCACCUCGCACAUCUCAUCCUCACCGUCUUCCUGGCACAGCUCCUCGGUACCACGGGGCAGAUCACGGUCAGCCAGGAAGAUGCACAAGUCACAGUGAAGCAGGGACACCCCUUCCACACCACCUGCAAAUACCAGACAAGUAUUAAUGCCUUGCUCUGGUACCAGCUGCGGAAAGGCCAAGCCCCCCAGCUGGUCUCCUAUCAAUCAGGGACUGGCCCCAGGCACAGCGGCCGGAUCACCACGCACCUGAACACCACGGGCAAAUACAGUGUCCUGAAGGUGGAGGAAGUGCAGGUGUCUGACAGUGCCUUGUACCUGUGUGCUGUGCAAGACACCCUGGUGCAGGGAGCUUGCUCGGCUGUGCAAUAACCCAGGGGAGGGAGGGGAUGUGUCAGUGCAAGGUUGAGCUUGGGAAAGGGAUGUAGUUCUCACCCCAAUGCUUACCACAACUUGCACCCCAUGUGUGUACAAUGGUCUGAUGGAUUUCAUUACUUCCAUUCUGACACUUCCUUUCGGAAAAUAUACUGGACAA
This is a non-coding RNA of Catharus ustulatus (Swainson's thrush), 2691 nucleotides long. The record is from the annotation of a RefSeq genome assembly. Lineage: Eukaryota; Metazoa; Chordata; Aves; Passeriformes; Turdidae.